GAGUUUGAUCGUGGCUCAGAUUGAACGCUGGCGGCAUGCCUUACACAUGCAAGUCGAACGGCAGCAUGAUCUAGCUUGCUAGAUUGAUGGCGAGUGGCGAACGGGUGAGUAAUACAUCGGAACGUGCCCUGUAGUGGGGGAUAACUAGUCGAAAGAUUAGCUAAUACCGCAUACGACCUGAGGGUGAAAGUGGGGGACCGGCAAGGCCUCAUGCUAUAGGAGCGGCCGAUGUCUGAUUAGCUAGUUGGUGGGGUAAAGGCCCGACCAAGGCGACGAUCAGUAGCUGGUCUGAGAGGACGAUCAGCCACACUGGGACUGAGACACGGCCCAGACUCCUACGGGAGGCAGCAGUGGGGAAUUUUGGACAAUGGGCGAAAGCCUGAUCCAGCAAUGCCGCGUGUGUGAAGAA
RNAcentral lists this ribosomal RNA (409 nucleotides) under uncultured microorganism. Its description in RNAcentral is "bacterial SSU rRNA". It matches the Rfam family "Bacterial small subunit ribosomal RNA", at positions 9 to 412 of the family's 1533-position model. The record is from RNAcentral.